Molecule: ribosomal RNA, 1008 nt
Filed under: Triticum aestivum (bread wheat)
Lineage: Eukaryota; Viridiplantae; Streptophyta; Magnoliopsida; Poales; Poaceae
Description: partial small subunit ribosomal RNA
Source: RNAcentral
AUGGACGGACCGAGCGUCAUCCAGCUUAAGUGUUACCCUCCUGCUACGCCGAAGGUGGAGGAAGAGGUUGAAGAGGAGGUGGACGAAGAUGAAGAUGGAGAAGAAGAGACGCUGAGUUCUGAUGAUGACGAUGACGGAACCUACGAGGAGUUAAAUACUGCAGCCAUUAUGACCACUUUCACGCAGAAGAGCCAAGAAAAAGGAGAUGGCAUGAAGAUCGUGGUGGUCUACCGCCACACCCUCUUCUCGACGCCGUCGGACGGAGGCGAGCAGCUAGUGCGGGGAGACACGGAGGGGCACACGAUUCGGUUCGUCGUUCCGCCUGCCCGCAACACUGCGAGGGCUCUGCGGUUGGUCGGCGCGUCGCUGUCCGCGAUGGUAUACCCCGGCCACCUCCGUGAAAGGCUCCGGGACCUAUGGUCGAACUUGAUCUUGUUGCCCGAGAUGAAGCACCGCCUUGGGCGGCGAGCCGGAGUCGAGGUGCGCUUUGACGCGUUUAGCUUCCCGGAGGCUGACGACACCCCGGAGCGCAGGGAGAGCGUGUUCGCGGUGGCAGAUGGCAUGUCGAAGGAGCCGUGGCCCGAGUGCCAGUGCCAUGGCGGAAUGGAGUACCGCCUGCCCGAAACGGCGCCGAUGCGGCGCAUCGCGGAGAGCGAAGCAGCUGGGCUGGAUUGCCCCGUCUGUUUGCACCUGCUCGAGGGAGACGAUCUUGCUGCGUGGCCGGGAUGCUCUAGGCCCCACGUCUUCCAUGGUGCGUGCUUGAAGCUCGCGCUCAAGAAGAUUGACAGGUGCCCCAUCUGCAGGUGCUUCCUGCAAAUCGAGCCCGAACCACUACCACUAGAGACCACUGAGGAUAAGGAGGGCGACGGAGACGCGGCCUUGGCGAUUGCCGCCGGCGGCAAGCCUAAAAGCGUUCGGCGGGAUGUAGCUAUAGCAUUCUUGGGUCUCAUUUUGUUUGUUUGUAUGAUGAUGAUAGGGUUAAUCAGAUUCAUGAUGCAUUACGGGUGA